Molecule: ribosomal RNA, 429 nt
Filed under: bacterium
Lineage: Bacteria
Description: partial 16S ribosomal RNA
Rfam family: Bacterial small subunit ribosomal RNA
Source: RNAcentral
UAGGGAAUCUUCCACAAUGGACGCAAGUCUGAUGGAGCAACGCCGCGUGAGUGAAGAAGGUUUUCGGUUCGUAAAGCUCUGUUGUUGGUGAAGAAGGAUAGAGGUAGUAACUGGCCUUUAUUUGACGGUAAUCAACCAGAAAGUCACGGCUAACUACGUGCCAGCAGCCGCGGUAAUACGUAGGUGGCAAGCGUUGUCCGGAUUUAUUGGGCGUAAAGCGAGCGCAGGCGGAAGAAUAAGUCUGAUGUGAAAGCCCUCGGCUUAACCGAGGAACUGCAUCGGAAACUGUUUUUCUUGAGUGCAGAAGAGGAGAGUGGAAUUCCAUGUGUAGCGGUGGAAUGCGUAGAUAUAUGGAAGAACACCAGUGGCGAAGGCGACUCUCUGGUCUGCAACUGACGCUGAGGCUCGAAAGCAUGGGUAGCGAACAGG